This 216-nucleotide ribosomal RNA is filed under the name Glomeromycotina sp. RNAcentral's name for it is "partial small subunit ribosomal RNA". The stretch from base 40 to 216 matches the Rfam family "Eukaryotic small subunit ribosomal RNA", at positions 686 to 864 of the family's 1831-position model. Lineage: Eukaryota; Fungi; Glomeromycota. The record is from RNAcentral.
GGGUCAGUAAGUUGGUCGUGCCACCGGUACGUACUGGUCUCACUGAUUCCUCCUUCCUGAAGAACCGUAGUGCCAUUAAUUUGGUGUUGCGGGGAAACAGGACUGUUACUUUGAAAAAAUUAGAGUGUUUAAAGCAAGCUAACGCUUGAAUACAUUAGCAUGGAAUAAUGAAAUAGGACGAUCGAUCCUAUUUUGUUGGUUUCUAGGAUUGACGUA